GGGACCGACUUGGUUUCGACGUGGAUUGCGAAGCACGGAGGGCAUACCGAGGACCCGUUAUCUCGUAAAUCAAUGGGAAUUGUAAUAACUGCUAACGACGAACGUUACGCACUAGCAGCCUAAGGGCUGUGGCCCUCGUACCAAUUUGCCGAUAGGUUGGGGUAGAAAUACCAUUCGAGGUCAUUUAUAUCGGAUCGUGCCAUUAAAGGUCACUGUUAAUGGAGCUAGAACUAAAGGGAAUCGUUCCUGUAAAGCGUGUUAAUCCGCGUUGCAUGAAUUAAAUCAAAUGAUAUAACUAAGUAUGUAGAACUCUUUGUAGAGGAUUUGCGGACGCGGGUUCGAUUCCCGCCGGUUCCACCA
RNAcentral lists this transfer-messenger RNA (360 nucleotides) under Polynucleobacter kasalickyi. RNAcentral describes it as "Standard tmRNA". It matches the Rfam family "transfer-messenger RNA". Rfam says of the family: Bacterial tmRNA, also known as 10Sa RNA or SsrA, is named for its dual tRNA and mRNA-like properties. The record is from Rfam by way of RNAcentral. Lineage: Bacteria; Pseudomonadati; Pseudomonadota; Betaproteobacteria; Burkholderiales; Burkholderiaceae.